GACGAACGCUGGCGGCGUGCCUAACACAUGCAAGUCGAACGGAAAGGCCCUGCUUUUGCGGGGCGCUCGAGUGGCGAACGCGUGAGUAACACGUGAGUAUCCCCCCCCUGUAUUUGGGAUAACUUCAGGAAACUCGGGCUCAUAUCGGAUAGGAGCUCCUGCUGCAUGGUGGGGGUUGGAAAGUUUCGGCGGUUGGGGAUGGAAUCGCGGCUUAUCAGCUUGUUGGUGGAGUAGUGGCUUACCAAGGCUUUGACGGAUAGCCGGCCUGAGAGGGGGACCGGCCACAUUGGGACUGAGAGACGGCCCAGACUCCAACGGGAGGCAGCAGUGGAGAAUAUUGCACAGUGGGCGGGAGCGUGAUGCAGCGACGCCGCGUGCGGGAUGACGGCCUUCGGGUUGUAAACCACUUUCGCCUGUGACGAAGCGUGAGUGACGGUAAUUGGUAAAGAAGCACCGGCUAACUACGUG
This 468-nucleotide ribosomal RNA is filed under the name uncultured bacterium. RNAcentral describes it as "partial 16S ribosomal RNA". It matches the Rfam family "Bacterial small subunit ribosomal RNA", at positions 28 to 507 of the family's 1533-position model. The record is from RNAcentral.